GGGUUGGUGAGGGUAGUAGAGAAGGGGCUGGUGAGGGUAGUAGAGAAGGGGUUGGUGAGGGUCGUAGAGAAGGGGUUGGUGAGGGUAGUAGAGAAGGGUUUGGUGAGGGUGGUAGAGAAGGGGUUGGUGAGGGGACUAGUAGAGAAGGGGUUGGUGAGGGUAGUAGAGAAGGGGUUGGUGAGGGACUGAGGGUAAUAGAGAAGGGGUUGGUGAGGGUGGUAGAGAAGGGGUUGGUGAGGGUAGUAGAGAAGGGGUUGGUGAGGGUAGUAGAGAAGGGGUUGGUGAGGGUAGUAGAGAAGGGGUUGG
Long non-coding RNA from Oncorhynchus tshawytscha (Chinook salmon), 306 nucleotides. Lineage: Eukaryota; Metazoa; Chordata; Actinopteri; Salmoniformes; Salmonidae. The record is from Ensembl.